Molecule: transfer RNA, 87 nt
Filed under: Bryobacterales bacterium
Lineage: Bacteria; Pseudomonadati; Acidobacteriota; Terriglobia; Bryobacterales
Also listed under: 1 other name
Description: tRNA-Leu
Rfam family: tRNA
About the family: Transfer RNA (tRNA) molecules are approximately 80 nucleotides in length.
Source: RNAcentral
GCGGAUGUGGCGGAACUGGCAGACGCACUGGAUUUAGGUUCCAGCGCCUUCACUGGCAUCGGGGUUCGACUCCCCGCAUCCGCACCA